UACGGAGGGUGCGAGCGUUGUCCGGAAUCAUUGGGCGUAAAGGGUGCGUAGGUGGCCAGGUAAGUUUGAUGUGAAAGCUCGGAGCUUAACUCCGAAAUGGCAUUGAAUACUAUCUGGCUUGAGGGUCGGAGGGGAGACUGGAAUUCUCGGUGUAGCAGUGAAAUGCGUAGAUAUCGAGAGGAACACCAGUGGCGAAGGCGAGUCUCUGGACGACACCUGACACUGAGGCACGAAGGCCAGGGGAGCAAACGGG
RNAcentral lists this ribosomal RNA (253 nucleotides) under uncultured bacterium. Its description in RNAcentral is "partial 16S ribosomal RNA". It matches the Rfam family "Bacterial small subunit ribosomal RNA", at positions 524 to 776 of the family's 1533-position model. The record is from RNAcentral.